GUGCCAGCAGCCGCGGUAAUACGUAGGGUGCGAGCGUUGUCCGGAUUUAUUGGGCGUAAAGAGCUCGUAGGCGGUUUGUCGCGUCGGCCGUGAAAUCUCCACGCUUAACGUGGAGCGUGCGGUCGAUACGGGCAGACUUGAGUUCGGUAGGGGAGACUGGAAUUCCUGGUGUAGCGGUGAAAUGCGCAGAUAUCAGGAGGAACACCGGUGGCGAAGGCGGGUCUCUGGGCCGAUACUGACGCUGAGGAGCGAAAGCGUGGGGAGCGAACAGGAUUAGAUACCCUGGUAGUCC
Molecule: ribosomal RNA, 292 nt
Filed under: uncultured microorganism
Description: partial 16S ribosomal RNA
Rfam family: Bacterial small subunit ribosomal RNA
Source: RNAcentral